This 817-nucleotide long non-coding RNA is filed under the name Marmota monax (woodchuck). Lineage: Eukaryota; Metazoa; Chordata; Mammalia; Rodentia; Sciuridae. The record is from RNAcentral.
UUGGGAGUGUUAUCUUUACCAGUAUUGAUGAUGUUUUUCCAUCUGUCAAGGAAUUUUAGGAAUGUGAGAUGAGAUUGAAAGGAUCUGCAUAUACAGAAAGAACUCUGAGGAAGUUGGAAUCCUGUGGGCUAGUUAUUUCUUGAUUCUUAAUACUUAGGGAAAAAAAACUCCUUUAGUCACUAAUAUGAUAUAUGCAGUUGGUUUAUUUUCUAAGAUGCGACAUGCACUUAUUGUGUUUAAAAUCCUCUCAGGAGGAAAGUUCACCAUCUGUACAGUUGAGGAUGAGGGAAAAGAUCUCAGUUUGAUCCUAAAGGUACAGACUAUAGGAUUUUUUUUAGGGGGAUUGAACUCAGGGACACUCGACUACUGAGCCACAUCCACAGCCUUAUUUCGUAUUUUAUUUAGAGACAGGGUCUCACUGAGUUGCUAAGUGCCUUGCUUUUACUGAGGCUGGCUUUGAACUCAUGAUCCUCCUGCCUCAGCCCCCGAGGGUGCUGGGAUUGCAGGUGUGCGCCACUGUGCCCAGCCAGACUGUAGGAUUUGGACUUGUCCAAGGAUACCAAGAUGGAUGGUCAAGAUUGUCACCCAAAGUUUGUGCACUGGAGGGGUUGGAAUACCUGAAACAAAAUUGAACCCCUCACCCCACACCAUAGCACGCCACACCCAAGACAGCAGCAGCAGUGACAGCCACAGCUCACAUCCUAAUGUGUGGUCAGCAAAGACUUGAUCCAGUCAAACUGCCAAGGCCUGCAGAGGGGAUCAGUGCUUUGAAGUCGUUUUGUCAUUUGGAAUAUACCUGGACUAUCAAACCUCAUAC